CAGGUACAGAGGGAUGCUACCGGGCGACCGGAUGCGGAUCUCGAAAGCCUGUCCCAGUUCGGACUGGAGUCUGCAACCCGACUCCACGAAGUUGGAUUCGCUAGUAAUCGCGCAUCAGCCAUGGCGCGGUGAAUACGUUCCCGGGCCUUGUACACACCGCCCGUCAAGCCAUGGGAGCCGGGGGCGCCUGAAGUUCGUUACCGCAAGGAUCGACCUAGGGCAAAACUGGUGACUGGGGCUAAGUCGUAACAAGGUAAC
RNAcentral lists this ribosomal RNA (258 nucleotides) under uncultured bacterium. Its description in RNAcentral is "partial 16S ribosomal RNA". It matches the Rfam family "Bacterial small subunit ribosomal RNA", at positions 1234 to 1500 of the family's 1533-position model. The record is from RNAcentral.